Molecule: long non-coding RNA, 1398 nt
Filed under: Oryzias sinensis (Chinese medaka)
Lineage: Eukaryota; Metazoa; Chordata; Actinopteri; Beloniformes; Adrianichthyidae
Description: lncRNA (ENSOSIG00000000633.1)
Source: RNAcentral
AUGUUUUCUGGCUCCAACAAGACAAACAGAACAACUCAUCAACCCAUCAACAACUCAGCCUCCAUUACCUUUCCUGUGGCAGAAUAUGAACACCAAGGUAGCUACAGCUGUGUGUACCAGGUCAACCGGUGUACAUCCACGUUCACCUCUGCUGCAUCAGCACCCAUCACUGUUGUUGUUAAACAGUCCCUGUUGUUGAUCUUGUCGAUCUCAGGUGGAAUCUUUCUUCUGCUGCUGUUCAUCUUGUUUCUGAUCUGUCUGGUUCAAAGGAGAAGAAAACUCAGGAAUUAUGCGGUGUUUUACGAGACUCAAAGUCUGUCUUCUUCAAGAUACAAUAUAUUUAAAGUACAGAAGUUUGUUCAAAGAGUUCCUUAACUCUGGUUUUAAUGUUUUUCAGGGGCUUCUCAAGAAUGCACCGGAGACAGUGAGGAAGAUUAUGAAAAUCCUGAUGGAGAACACAUUCCAUCAAGACUCACAAAUGAAUCAGAAGACGAAGACAGUAAUGAUUAUGUGAAUGCAAUAUAUGAGGAGAACAUUUAUUAUUCAGAAGCUGAUUCACGAUCCAGAAGAAAGUGUUCCAAUACGAAGAGUGACAGACAGGAGGAGGAGGAAACGGAUGAAGAGGAUGAAGGAACCAGUGAUGAUGAUAAUGACUAUGAGAAUGUAACUGCACAUUUCCAUCUGCCUGUUGAUGAUAUUUAUGUAGAUCCAGUCUUAGAUAGGAGUACUGAUUAUCCAGAACUUGGUUUACAAUUCCAAAGAAAGUGUGUGACUCCUAAGAGUAACAGUCAGGAGGAGGAAACGGAUGAAGAGGAUGAAACAACCAGUGAUGAUGAUAAUGACUAUGAGAAUGUAACUGCAAAUUUCCAUCAACCUGUUGAUGAUACUUAUGUAGAUCCAGUCUUUGAUAGGAGUACUGAUUAUACAGAACUUGAUUAACAAUCUGUCAUGUGUCGUCAGUCUUAUGUUUUGUCCUGAGUUGUGCACUUUUGGUCAAUGUCUGCCACUUGUGUUGUCACUUCCUGUUUUAUUUUGAAACACUAGCACUCCUCUCGUUUUAGGCCUUGUUACUUCCUCUGCUAGUGUGUUUCUCUACAGGCGUGACUGUCUAAUCCUCCCUGAUUGUUUCAACCUGUGAUUCCCUUCCUCAUGUCUUAAAUAGUCUGAGUCUCCCCUUGUCCUGUGCCAGUGUGUUUGGUUGUAUCACAGCAAUUGCCAUUAUCUGAGAUUAAACGCUCUGAAAGUCUGAAUCUGAUUCCAGCCCUGAAUCUGUCCUGACACAAUCCAAUAGAAAGUGUGAGUGCUAAGAGUAAAAGUCAAGACCUAUGAUGAUAAUAAUGAAUAUGUGAACGUAACUAUUUACAACUGCCUGCUGAGAAACAUUUAGAAACAAAGGAG